Molecule: ribosomal RNA, 305 nt
Filed under: uncultured bacterium
Lineage: Bacteria
Description: bacterial SSU rRNA
Rfam family: Bacterial small subunit ribosomal RNA
Source: RNAcentral
AGCUAAUAGAUACCCGGGUAGUCCACGCCGUAAACGAUGAUGACUAGCUGUCGGGGCGCUUAGCGUUCCGGUGGCGCAGCUAACGCGUUAAGUCAUCCGCCUGGGGAGUACGGCCGCAAGGUUAAAACUCAAAGAAAUUGACGGGGGCGUGCACAAGCGGUGGAGCAUGUGGUUUAAUUCGAAGCAACGCGCAGAACCUUACCAGCGUUUGACAUGGUAGGACGGUUUCCAGAGAUGGAUUCCUUCCCUUACGGGUACGUACACACAGGUGCUGCAUGGCUGUCGUCAGCUCGUGUCGUGAGACU